UCGAACGAGUUCUCGUUGAUGAUUGGUGCUUGCACCGAGAUUCAACAUGGAACGAGUGGCGGACGGGUGAGUAACACGUGGGUAACCUGCCCUUAAGUGGGGGAUAACAUUUGGAAACAGAUGCUAAUACCGCAUAGAUCCAAGAACCGCAUGGUUCUUGGCUGAAAGAUGGCGUAAGCUAUCGCUUUUGGAUGGACCCGCGGCGUAUUAGCUAGUUGGUGAGGUAACGGCUCACCAAGGCGAUGAUACGUAGCCGAACUGAGAGGUUGAUCGGCCACAUUGGGACUGAGACACGGCCCAAACUCCUACGGGAGGCAGCAGUAGGGAAUCUUCCACAAUGGACGCAAGUCUGAUGGAGCAACGCCGCGUGAGUGAAGAAGGCUUUCGGGUCGUAAAACUCUGUUGUUGGAGAAGAAUGGUCGGCAGAGUAACUGUUGCCGGCGUGACGGUAUCCAACCAGAAAGCCACGGCUAACUACGUGCCAGCAGCCGCGGUAAUACGUAGGUGGCAAGCGUUAUCCGGAUUUAUUGGGCGUAAAGCGAGCGCAGGCGGUUUUUUAAGUCUGAUGUGAAAGCCCUCGGCUUAACCGAGGAAGCGCAUCGGAAACUGGGAAACUUGAGUGCAGAAGAGGACAGUGGAACUCCAUGUGUAGCGGUGAAAUGCGUAGAUAUAUGGAAGAACACCAGUGGCGAAGGCGGCUGUCUGGUCUGUAACUGACGCUGAGGCUCGAAAGCAUGGGUAGCGAACAGGAUUAGAUACCCUGGUAGUCCAUGCCGUAUACGAUGAAUGCUA
This 792-nucleotide ribosomal RNA is filed under the name uncultured bacterium. RNAcentral's name for it is "bacterial SSU rRNA". It matches the Rfam family "Bacterial small subunit ribosomal RNA", at positions 62 to 818 of the family's 1533-position model. The record is from RNAcentral.